CGAUACUUGGUGUGAAUUGCAGAAUUCAGUGAAUCAUCGAAUCUUUGAACGCACCUUGCGCUCCUUGGUAUUCUGAGGAGCAUGCCUGUUUGAGUGUCAUUAAAUUUCUCAAUCCUCCUUUUUGUCUCAAUUGGAUAAAAUGGGUUGGCUUUGGACUUAUGGGAGUUGCAGGCUUAUUUAUAAAAGUCAGCUCUUCUAAAAAGUAUUAGCUUGAACAUGUUUUGAGAACUUGAAAGUCUAGCAAUUUGGUGUGAUAAUUAUCUACGCCAUUUGCUUAAAUCUCUAUUGAACUGUUUAGCUUCAAACACGUCCUGGUCUUUUUAGACUUAUUACUUUUGAUAAUUUGACCUCAAAUCAGGUAGGACUACCCGCUGAACUUAAGCAUAUCAAUAAGCGGAGGAAUACAUAUUUUAUCAUCCAGUUGCUUAAACAACUUGAAUCCUCCCCUAAAACAUCUUUGACAUGCUAGAUAUUAAUUGUGAACCCCUCUAUUC
This 494-nucleotide ribosomal RNA is filed under the name Tricholosporum sp. BAB-3638. Its description in RNAcentral is "eukaryotic LSU rRNA". The stretch from base 1 to 99 matches the Rfam family "5.8S ribosomal RNA", at positions 56 to 154 of the family's 154-position model. The record is from RNAcentral. Lineage: Eukaryota; Fungi; Basidiomycota; Agaricomycetes; Agaricales; Asproinocybaceae.